UUUUUUGGAAAAGGCUCCGUGCAAAAUGCCAUUUUUGAAGUGAAUCAAUUUAAGGAGAGGGGCAAAAUGGUCCAUUUUUGGAAAUAUUGAGAAUUUGGAAACAAGGUCAAUGCAACUAGCUCCCAAUGGAUAUUUUUGACUUGUGUCAAGUGAAAAAUUCUGCUGAAUGUGCUUCUAACCAUUCAAAAGAGCUUAACUCCAAAUUUCACAAAAACCAU
This 218-nucleotide long non-coding RNA is filed under the name Lathyrus oleraceus (garden pea). RNAcentral describes it as "Pisum sativum (pea) long non-coding RNA (PSAT_LNC018454)". Lineage: Eukaryota; Viridiplantae; Streptophyta; Magnoliopsida; Fabales; Fabaceae. The record is from RNAcentral.